CCUACGGGAGGCAGCAGGGAGGGAUAUUGGUCAAUGGGCGCGAGCCGGAACCAGCCAAGUAGCGGGAAGGAUGACUGCCCUACGGGUGGUAAACUUCUGUUAUAAGGGAAUAAAGUGCAGCACGUGUGCCUUUUUGCAUGUACCUUAUGAAUAAGGAUCGGCUAACUCCGUUCCAGCAGCCGCGGUAAUACGGAGGAUCCGAGCGUUAUCCGGAUUUAUUGGGUUUAAAGGGAGCGUAGAUGGGUUGUUAAGUCAGUUGUGAAAGUUUGCGGCUCAACCGUAAAAUUGCAGUUGAUACUGGCAGUCUUGAGUACAGUUGAGGUAGGCGGAAUUCGUGGUGUAGCGGUGAAAUGCUUAGAUAUCACGAAGAACUCCGAUUGCGAAGGCAGCUUGCUAAACUGCAACUGACGUUGAUGCUCGAAAGUGUGGGUAUCAAACAGGAUUAGAUACCCUGGUAGUC
Molecule: ribosomal RNA, 460 nt
Filed under: uncultured bacterium
Lineage: Bacteria
Description: partial 16S ribosomal RNA
Rfam family: Bacterial small subunit ribosomal RNA
Source: RNAcentral